RNAcentral lists this ribosomal RNA (995 nucleotides) under uncultured organism. RNAcentral's name for it is "bacterial SSU rRNA". It matches the Rfam family "Bacterial small subunit ribosomal RNA", at positions 356 to 1376 of the family's 1533-position model. The record is from RNAcentral.
GGGGAAUAUUGCACAAUGGGGGAAACCCUGAUGCAGCGACGCCGCGUGGAGGAAGAAGGUCUUCGGAUUGUAAACUCCUGUUGUUGAGGAAGAUAAUGACGGUACUCAACAAGGAAGUGACGGCUAACUACGUGCCAGCAGCCGCGGUAAAACGUAGGUCACAAGCGUUGUCCGGAAUUACUGGGUGUAAAGGGAGCGCAGGCGGGAAGACAAGUUGGAAGUGAAAUCUAUGGGCUCAACCCAUAAACUGCUUUCAAAACUGUUUUUCUUGAGUAGUGCAGAGGUAGGCGGAAUUCCCGGUGUAGCGGUGGAAUGCGUAGAUAUCGGGAGGAACACCAGUGGCGAAGGCGGCCUACUGGGCACCAACUGACGCUGAGGCUCGAAAGUGUGGGUAGCAAACAGGAUUAGAUACCCUGGUAGUCCACACCGUAAACGAUGAUUACUAGGUGUUGGAGGAUUGACCCCUUCAGUGCCGCAGUUAACACAAUAAGUAAUCCACCUGGGGAGUACGACCGCAAGGUUGAAACUCAAAGGAAUUGACGGGGGCCCGCACAAGCAGUGGAGUAUGUGGUUUAAUUCGACGCAACGCGAAGAACCUUACCAAGUCUUGACAUCCUGCGACGAUGCUGGAAACAGUAUUUUCCUUCGGGACGCAGAGACAGGUGGUGCAUGGUUGUCGUCAGCUCGUGUCGUGAGAUGUUGGGUUAAGUCCCGCAACGAGCGCAACCCUUACUGUCAGUUACUACGCCAGAGGACUCUGGCAGGACUGCCGUUGACAAAACGGAGGAAGGUGGGGAUGACGUCAAAUCAUCAUGCCCUUUAUGACUUGGGCUACACACGUACUACAAUGGCGUUAAACAAAGAGAAGCAAGACCGCGAGGUGGAGCAAAACUCAGAAACAACGUCCCAGUUCGGACUGCAGGCUGCAACUCGCCUGCACGAAGUCGGAAUUGCUAGUAAUCGUGGAUCAGCAUGCCACGGUGAAUACGUUCCCG